UGACCUCGGAUCAGGUAGGAAUACCCGCUGAACUUAAGCAUAUCAUU
Molecule: ribosomal RNA, 47 nt
Filed under: Fusarium acuminatum
Lineage: Eukaryota; Fungi; Ascomycota; Sordariomycetes; Hypocreales; Nectriaceae
Description: partial 28S ribosomal RNA
Source: RNAcentral